RNAcentral lists this ribosomal RNA (636 nucleotides) under Triticum aestivum (bread wheat). RNAcentral's name for it is "partial small subunit ribosomal RNA". The record is from RNAcentral. Lineage: Eukaryota; Viridiplantae; Streptophyta; Magnoliopsida; Poales; Poaceae.
AUGGGCAUUGAAGGUCGACAAAAUCUUCCGCUUGCACAAUAUGAGGAAGAGAAGAAGAUCGCCAUGGCAUCCCUUGAGCUCCAAGACUACGUCCUCAUUUGGUGGGAACAAAUCAUUGAGCAUCGAGAGGCAAGAGGUGAACCACUCAUCACUACUUGGGCGCAACUGAAGGAUGUCAUGAGAGCACGCUUCGUGCCAACCUACUACAACCACGACCUCUUCAAGAAACUCCAACUCCUCAAGCAAGGAACCAAGAGCAUUGAAGAAUACCACAAGGAAAUGGAGAUUGCAAUGAUACAAGCCAAUGUCACAGAAGAUGAUGAGCAAACUAUGUCACGUUUCUUGAAUGGACUCAAUCAUCCUAUCAAGAAGAUCGCUGACUUCCAACCAUACUCAAACCUCAUUGAGCUUGUGCAUCAAGCUACCAAAGCGAAACGUCAAGUGCAAGAUGACUUCAAGUAUGCCAAGUUCUCAUCCAAGUCCUAUGGCUUCUCCAACACCCAAGCUUCAACGACUCCAACACCUUCUACCUCAACCAAGCCUUCUACAAGCAACGCUAACAAGUCGAGUUACAAGAAAACCUCGACAACUCCAAGUCAUCAUGAAAGUGCAACUAUCCCUGGGUGGUUUUGGUAA